RNAcentral lists this ribosomal RNA (1569 nucleotides) under Salmonella enterica subsp. enterica serovar Thompson. RNAcentral's name for it is "partial 23S ribosomal RNA". It matches the Rfam family "Bacterial large subunit ribosomal RNA", at positions 711 to 2179 of the family's 2925-position model. RNAcentral also lists the same sequence under 1 other name. The record is from RNAcentral. Lineage: Bacteria; Pseudomonadati; Pseudomonadota; Gammaproteobacteria; Enterobacterales; Enterobacteriaceae.
AGACCCGAAACCCGGUGAUCUAGCCAUGGGCAGGUUGAAGGUUGGGUAACACUAACUGGAGGACCGAACCGACUAAUGUUGAAAAAUUAGCGGAUGACCUGUGGCUGGGGGUGAAAGGCCAAUCAAACCGGGAGAUAGCUGGUUCUCCCCGAAAGCUAUUUAGGUAGCGCCUCGUGAAUUCAUCUCCGGGGGUAGAGCACUGUUUCGGCUAGGGGGCCAUCCCGGCUUACCAACCCGAUGCAAACUGCGAAUACCGGAGAAUGUUAUCACGGGAGACACACGGCGGGUGCUAACGUCCGUCGUGAAGAGGGAAACAACCCAGACCGCCAGCUAAGGUCCCAAAGUCAUGGUUAAGUGGGAAACGAUGUGGGAAGGCCCAGACAGCCAGGAUGUUGGCUUAGAAGCAGCCAUCAUUUAAAGAAAGCGUAAUAGCUCACUGGUCGAGUCGGCCUGCGCGGAAGAUGUAACGGGGCUAAACCAUGCACCGAAGCUGCGGCAGCGAACGUAUCACUUAAAGCGAUUCAGCGGGUUACGAUUGACGGAGCGAAGCGACGUCAAAGCGUAUACAAAGUCGAGUCGGUUUAAGGAUACGUUCGUUGGGUAGGGGAGCGUUCUGUAAGCCUGUGAAGGUGGCCUGUGAGGGUUGCUGGAGGUAUCAGAAGUGCGAAUGCUGACAUAAGUAACGAUAAAGCGGGUGAAAAGCCCGCUCGCCGGAAGACCAAGGGUUCCUGUCCAACGUUAAUCGGGGCAGGGUGAGUCGACCCCUAAGGCGAGGCCGAAAGGCGUAGUCGAUGGGAAACGGGUUAAUAUUCCCGUACUUGGUGUUACUGCGAAGGGGGGACGGAGAAGGCUAUGUUGGCCGGGCGACGGUUGUCCCGGUUUAAGCGUGUAGGUGUGUGUUCCAGGUAAAUCCGGUUCACUUUAACACUGAGGCGUGACGACGAGGCACUACGGUGCUGAAGCAACAAAUGCCCUGCUUCCAGGAAAAGCCUCUAAGCAUCAGGUAACAUCAAAUCGUACCCCAAACCGACACAGGUGGUCAGGUAGAGAAUACCAAGGCGCUUGAGAGAACUCGGGUGAAGGAACUAGGCAAAAUGGUGCCGUAACUUCGGGAGAAGGCACGCUGACACGUAGGUGAAGUGAUUUACUCAUGGAGCUGAAGUCAGUCGAAGAUACCAGCUGGCUGCAACUGUUUAUUAAAAACACAGCACUGUGCAAACACGAAAGUGGACGUAUACGGUGUGACGCCUGCCCGGUGCCGGAAGGUUAAUUGAUGGGGUCAGCGCAAGCGAAGCUCCUGAUCGAAGCCCCGGUAAACGGCGGCCGUAACUAUAACGGUCCUAAGGUAGCGAAAUUCCUUGUCGGGUAAGUUCCGACCUGCACGAAUGGCGUAAUGAUGGCCAGGCUGUCUCCACCCGAGACUCAGUGAAAUUGAACUCGCUGUGAAGAUGCAGUGUACCCGCGGCAAGACGGAAAGACCCCGUGAACCUUUACUAUAGCUUGACACUGAACAUUGAGCCUUGAUGUGUAGGAUAGGUGGGAGGCUUUGAAGCGUGGACGCCAGUCUGC